UGGGGAAUAUUGCACAAUGGGCGCAAGCCUGAUGCAGCCAUGCCGCGUGUAUGAAGAAGGCCUUCGGGUUGUAAAGUACUUUCAGCGGGGAGGAAGGGAGUAAAGUUAAUACCUUUACUCAUUGACGUUACCCGCAGUAGAAGCACCGGCUAACUCCGUGCCAGCAGCCGCGGUAAUACGGAGGGUGCAAGCAUUAAUCGGAAUUACUGGGCGUAAAGCGCACGCAGGCGGUUUGUUAAGUCAGAUGUGAAAUCCCCGGGCUCAACCUGGGAACUGCAUCUGAUACUGGCAAGCUUGAGUCUCGUAGAGGGGGGUAGAAUUCCAGGUGUAGCGGUGAAAUGCGUAGAGAUCUGGAGGAAUACCGGUGGCGAAGGCGGCCCCCUGGACGAAGACUGACGCUCAGGUGCGAAAGCGUGGGGAGCAAACAGG
RNAcentral lists this ribosomal RNA (429 nucleotides) under Chloroflexota bacterium. RNAcentral's name for it is "Chloroflexi bacterium partial 16S ribosomal RNA". It matches the Rfam family "Bacterial small subunit ribosomal RNA", at positions 355 to 776 of the family's 1533-position model. Lineage: Bacteria; Bacillati; Chloroflexota. The record is from RNAcentral.